RNAcentral lists this ribosomal RNA (467 nucleotides) under uncultured bacterium. Its description in RNAcentral is "partial 16S ribosomal RNA". It matches the Rfam family "Bacterial small subunit ribosomal RNA", at positions 29 to 507 of the family's 1533-position model. The record is from RNAcentral.
ACGCACGCUGGCGGCGUGCUUAACACAUGCCAGUCGAACGGAAAGGCCCUGCUUUUGUGGGGUGCUCGAGUGGCGAACGGGUGAGUAACACGUGAGUAACCUGCCCUUGACUUUGGGAUAACUUCAGGAAACUGGGGCUAAUACCGGAUAGGAGCUCCUGCUGCAUGGUGGGGGUUGGAAAGUUUCGGCGGUUGGGGAUGGACUCGCGGCUUAUCAGCUUGUUGGUGGGGUAGUGGCUUACCAAGGCUUUGACGGGUAGCCGGCCUGAGAGGGUGACCGGCCACAUUGGGACUGAGAUACGGCCCAGACUCCUACGGGAGGCAGCAGUGGGGAAUAUUGCACAAUGGGCGGAAGCCUGAUGCAGCAACGCCGCGUGCGGGAUGACGGCCUUCGGGUUGUAAACCGCUUUCGCCUGUGACGAAGCGUGAGUGACGGUAAUGGGUAAAGAAGCACCGGCUAACUACGUG